Molecule: non-coding RNA, 229 nt
Filed under: Loigolactobacillus coryniformis
Lineage: Bacteria; Bacillati; Bacillota; Bacilli; Lactobacillales; Lactobacillaceae
Description: Lactobacillus coryniformis T-box sequence
Rfam family: T-box leader
About the family: Uncharged tRNA acts as the effector for transcription antitermination of genes in the T-box leader family.
Source: RNAcentral
UAAAUAACGUUGAACAGAAGAGUAAAUAGACUUAAAUUAUCAGAGAGUUUCUGGAUGGUGUGAAGAAACAAUUGAGUGUAUUGAAACACAUCUGCGAGUAUUGUACGCUGAACAAAUUAGGUGUACACGGGAAAGCCCGUUACUGCUGUAGUUCAUUGAACUACCUGAGGUAUUGCUUGUGAAAGUGAUACAAAUUAGAGGUGGAAUCACGAAAUCAAUCGUCCUCUUG